GUGGGGAAUAUUGGACAAUGGGCGAAAGCCUGAUCCAGCCAUGCCGCGUGUGUGAAGAAGGUCUUCGGAUUGUAAAGCACUUUAAGUUGGGAGGAAGGGCAGUAAGUUAAUACCUUGCUUUUUUGACGUUACCGACAGAAUAAGCACCGGCUAACUUCGUGCCAGCAGCCGCGGUAAUACGAAGGGUGCAAGCGUUAAUCGGAAUUACUGGGCGUAAAGCGCGCGUAGGUGGUUUUGUAAGUUGGAGGUGAAAUCCCCGGGCUCAACCUGGGAACUGCCUCCAAAACUGCAUGACUAGAGUACGGUAGAGGGUAGUGGAAUUUCCUGUGUAGCGGUGAAAUGCGUAGAUAUAGGAAGGAACACCAGUGGCGAAGGCGACUACCUGGACUGAUACUGACACUGAGGUGCGAAAGCGUGGGGAGCAAACAGGAUUAGAAACCCGUGUAGUCC
This 450-nucleotide ribosomal RNA is filed under the name uncultured bacterium. Its description in RNAcentral is "partial 16S ribosomal RNA". It matches the Rfam family "Bacterial small subunit ribosomal RNA", at positions 354 to 796 of the family's 1533-position model. The record is from RNAcentral.